Molecule: non-coding RNA, 31 nt
Filed under: Mus musculus (house mouse)
Lineage: Eukaryota; Metazoa; Chordata; Mammalia; Rodentia; Muridae
Source: RNAcentral
UAAAGCUGUUGCCUGUUUGUGGAAUCUGCUU